GGCCGUAACUAUAACGGUCCUAAGGUAGCGAAAUUCCUUGUCGGUUAAAUACCGACCUGCAUGAAUGGCGUAACGAGAUGGGAGCUGUCUCAACCAGAGAUUCAGUGAAAUUGUAGUGGAGGUGAAAAUUCCUCCUACCCGCGGCAAGACGGAAAGACCCCGUGGA
This 166-nucleotide ribosomal RNA is filed under the name Helicobacter pylori. Its description in RNAcentral is "partial 23S ribosomal RNA". It matches the Rfam family "Bacterial large subunit ribosomal RNA", at positions 1932 to 2097 of the family's 2925-position model. The record is from RNAcentral. Lineage: Bacteria; Pseudomonadati; Campylobacterota; Epsilonproteobacteria; Campylobacterales; Helicobacteraceae.